ACAUGGCAAGUCGAACGCUUUCUUUUUCCACCGGGAGCUUGCUCCACCGGAAAAAGAGGAGUGGCGAACGGGUGAGUAACACGUGGGUAACCUGCCCAUCAGAAGGGGAUAACACUUGGAAACAGGUGCUAAUACCGUAUAACAAUCAAAACCGCAUGGUUUUGAUUUGAAAGGCGCUUUCGGGUGUCGCUGAUGGAUGGACCCGCGGUGCAUUAGCUAGUUGGUGAGGUAACGGCUCACCAAGGCCACGAUGCAUAGCCGACCUGAGAGGGUGAUCGGCCACAUUGGGACUGAGACACGGCCCAAACUCCUACGGGAGGCAGCAGUAGGGAAUCUUCGGCAAUGGACGAAAGUCUGACCGAGCAACGCCGCGUGAGUGAAGAAGGUUUUCGGAUCGUAAAACUCUGUUGUUAGAGAAGAACAAGGAUGAGAGUAACUGUUCAUCCCUUGACGGUAUCUAACCAGAAAGCCACGGCUAACUACGUGCCAGCAGCCGCGGUAAUACGUAGGUGGCAAGCGUUGUCCGGAUUUAUUGGGCGUAAAGCGAGCGCAGGCGGUUUCUUAAGUCUGAUGUGAAAGCCCCCGGCUCAACCGGGGAGGGUCAUUGGAAACUGGGAGACUUGAGUGCAGAAGAGGAGAGUGGAAUUCCAUGUGUAGCGGUGAAAUGCGUAGAUAUAUGGAGGAACACCAGUGGCGAAGGCGGCUCUCUGGUCUGUAACUGACGCUGAGGCUCGAAAGCGUGGGGAGCAAACAGGAUUAGAUACCCUGGUAGUCCACGCCGUAAACGAUGAGUGCUAAGUGUUGGAGGGUUUCCGCCCUUCAGUGCUGCAGCUAACGCAUUAAGCACUCCGCCUGGGGAGUACGACCGCAAGGUUGAAACUCAAAGGAAUUGACGGGGGCCCGCACAAGCGGUGGAGCAUGUGGUUUAAUUCGAAGCAACGCGAAGAACCUUACCAGGUCUUGACAUCCUUUGACCACUCUAGAGAUAGAGCUUCCCCUUCGGAGGGCAAAGUGACAGGUGGUGCAUGGUUGUCGUCAGCUCGUGUCGUGAGAUGUUGGGUUAAGUCCCGCA
This 1072-nucleotide ribosomal RNA is filed under the name Enterococcus faecium. RNAcentral's name for it is "bacterial SSU rRNA". It matches the Rfam family "Bacterial small subunit ribosomal RNA", at positions 53 to 1091 of the family's 1533-position model. The record is from RNAcentral. Lineage: Bacteria; Bacillati; Bacillota; Bacilli; Lactobacillales; Enterococcaceae.